Hordeum vulgare subsp. vulgare (domesticated barley) is the source of this 117-nucleotide non-coding RNA. The record is from Rfam. Lineage: Eukaryota; Viridiplantae; Streptophyta; Magnoliopsida; Poales; Poaceae.
UAAAUACUCCCUCCGUUCGGAAUUACUUGUCACCAAAAAAAAAAUGUAUCUAUAACUAAAAUAUGUCUAGAUACAUCCAUUUUUUUGACAAGUAAUUCCAGACGGAGGGAGUAGUAA